UAAGUUUUUUUUUUUUUUUGAGACAGAAUUUCACUCUUGUUCCCCAGGCUGGAGUACAAUGGUGUGAUCUCAGCUCACUGCAACCUCCGCCUCCUGGGUUCAACCGAUUCUUCUGCCUCAGCCUCCCGAGUAGCUGGAAUUACAGGCACCUGUUUUGUGGGUAAUUUUUAUGCAAGAACUAUGAGCACUCCAAAGGAGGUUGCUAUGGUUUGGAUAUUUGUGUCUCCCCAAAAUUCAAGUGCUUAACCUAAUGAUCAAUGUGAUAUUAGUGGACUAUUUAUAUUUAUUGUUAUAAUGGUUUUGCUUUCUCUCUCUUCUUCUUCUUCAUGUCCCCUUGAAGGUUUAAGCUUUUAAAAUACCAAAACCAAAAAAAAAAACUGCCCUUUUUUGUAGUUUUGCUAAAAUUUUGAGAAGGAACAUUAGAUGUAUAUGUCCAAUCAACCAUCCUGACCCAAAAGUGCCCCAUCCUAAUUUACAUUAUUUAUUUUUGUCUAAAAUAUUCUGGUUUUCAUAGAUACUUUUCCAACAUGGGAAGGGUUUUAAAAACUCUUUCUCCUUUUUUUAGUCCUUGCAGCUCUUUUUUAUAAACAUUUUUAACACCUCUAUUAAAGCAAACUUGCAGUUCUCAACAAAGUGUUUUCCACUGAUGUCUGCUAAAAUGGUACUUAGGAGGUAAAGUAUGUAAGAAUAUCCUUCUGAUGCAAUUACAUUUAAUAUCCCCAGAAGUAGCCAGUUUUAGGCAUAUUUGAAAGGAAUCUGUCUUUUCUACUCGGGAGGUUGAGGAACUUUCACCUUCUUUCUCAUUCUUCUCAUUUCUAUUAAGGGUUUGGGGCUGAGGAGGGUUUAUGGGGAUGUUGAAUUACCAGAUCUAAGCCCACCACUUCAACGCGUUGAUCUCAUUCGAUUCUUACAAGUGGAGGGAGAAAGGAUGGUUUGUCAUCACCCUUACUUUAUGGAUAAGGAAACCAAGAUAGCAUGGCUUGGCAAUUUAUCCAGAGAAGCAACAAGGACCCUUUUCCACUAGGAGAACUCUCGGCAAGCAGGACUUGAGACGAGCGGAGUCCAGCUCCCCUGGAGGUCCAGUAACAAGUCAGGCUUCUGUGGGGAGCAAGGCAGUGGCAGGGAAGGAGGGGGAGUAAAUGGAAUCAUUGGAGAAAGCACAUUCAGAAAGCCAUGGCCCAUGGGUUUUUAGGAUGUGGGAUCACAGGGUGUGGGGUUUGUCAGAAGCCUGGCUCCCUCUCCUCCUCCCCUUGGGGUGGUCUCUGGAGAGUGGGGGAUGCCAUGACACCAGCAUUAGUGGCUCUGGGCUCCGUGAGGCGUGAGUUCUGGGAUUCUCGGGGAUGGUUUAUGGGAUGGUCACGGAGCACGGUGCUUUGAGGCUGGCUCUGCGUCCCUGCCUAGUUAACUCCGGCCCACACAGGCCACGUGGUGUUUAAUGGGGAGGGAUGGAGACGCAGCAGCAGGGCUGGGGCCUCCGGUGUGGACCCCCCGCAGGCAGGGAGGUCCCUGGAGGAAUUCUUCUUUAAUGUCUGGCUUAACCAAAGAUGGCUGGAUUCUCAACUCUGCUUCCACAUUCAAUCCCUUGUAAGAAUUUUUUUUUUUCUGUCAAAGUAUGAAAAAUUGCAGACGCAGCCACCCACUCAUAAGUAGCUGGAAGAAGACGCAGUGUUCGAAUAAUCUUUUCGGAUAACUGUGGAUGCACCACGUAGCCUCUGGGAAACUCCACCGUACACUCGUGAGAGAAUGAGAGCCAGAAAGACAAUUCCUGUAGUAUUAAUGUAAAAAUAGAUUUGUAAAAUAUUACCUACUUUUUAAUAUUAUCAUUAUAUUAUAUAUUUUUUUUAUGUUAUCAAGGGUUGAAUCUGUCCCGUGAGAUGUGUGUGACCCGUAUCCUUAGCGGGCUUUCUUGAGGGCUUCUCUGCCUUAGAGGAGGGAAUUGAGGGUGCCCAGAGGCAGAGGCCCUGUAUGGAGCCAGCUCAUGAGUGAGCACUUUUUCCAGCAGGGCUGCUGGGAGCUGCCUGGGAGCUCUGGCACUGGAGGAGCAGACCUGUCCUUGUUUGUGAAGCUCUCAGCCACGGCCCUCCAGCCAGCGCUCUGCCACGGCAGGAGCGGGAGAAAGGCUUCACCUUGGCCAAAACCAGCGCGGUUUUCUUCCCUUGGUUUACUUUGGUCCAUGUCAGAGAGUCUUUAUUUCUUUUCUUUCAAACUUUCUCUUCCUUCCUCGUUGGCACUGAUUCUCAAAGUAUGGUCAAGGAACCCCUGAGGGAACCCCUUCCAGAUCAAAUCUAUUUUUAUAUUAAUACUAAAGGAAUUGUCUUUCUGGCUCUCAUUCUCUCACGAGUGUACGGUGGAGUUUUCCAGAGGCUACAUGGUGCAUGCACAGAUCUGAAAAGAUUGUUCAAAUCCUGCUUCUUCCUCCAGCUACUUAUCAGUGGGUGGCUGGAUUUUUUUCACACUUGGACCAAAUAAAACAUCUUACAAGGGAUUGAAUGCAGAAGCAGAGGUGAGAAUCUAGCCAUCUUUGGCUAAGCCAGACAUUAGAGAAGUGUACAAAAGGUAAAACCAUGUCACUCUCCCUUCCCCUCAGUCUUUUAUUUUGGAAAGCACAGUUAUUUGUCCUGAAAAAAAAAAAUGUGUUAUUUAUGUCAACAUGUACUAGAUACAUAAUUAUUUUAAAAUAUAUAAUUUUUUUAAAAAUCCUGUUUUAAUUUCAAAUACAAUAAAUAUCAACAGAUAAAGUGUAUAUAAAAGUAAAAGCUCUUUGAGAAUCCUCAGUUAAGUUUUAAGAAGAGGCCUUGUGUAUUAGUUUCCCAGAGCAUCUGUAACCAAUUGUCACAAAUUUAGUGGCUUAAAAUAACAGAGAUUUAUUCUCUCGCAGUCCUGGAGGCCCAAAGUCCAAAAUCAGUACCACUGGGCCAAAAUCAAGGUGUCAGCAGGGUGCUGCUUCUUCCAAGGGCUCUAGAGGAAGGUCUUCCAGGCUCUGGGGGCUGCUGGCUUAUUGGCUUGUGGCUGCAUCACUCCAGUCUCUGCCUCCGUCCUCACACAGCCCUCUCCUCUUCUCCAUCUUAAGUCUCCCUUUCUCUUAUAAGGACACGUCAUUGGAUUUAGUGCUCACCUGAAAAACCCAGAAUAAUCUCAUCUGGGAUCCCUAAUUACAUCUGUAAAUGCCUUUUUUCCAAAUAAGAUCCCAUUCACAGAUUCCAGGGAUAUGGAUGUAGACACAACUUCUGAGGGACCGUUGUGUAGCCCACCACAUCCUGCAGCCAACCAAUUUGAGAACUGCGGCUCCAUGCCCUUCCUCCAAGCAUCAGCAUCCCACUCCCCAGUUUGCUUUUUAAAGAGAUAAUCGGGGAUAAAGAUCACAUCCGGUGAAAAUUCAACUGCCAUCUAGUUUAGAUUUUCCCCAUGCCCCUGUGAUAGCGACGAGACCCUCUGCCAUCCACUAUCACCCUGGCUUUCUUAGGAUUUUUCUGGAAAUAUUCUGCCUUAUCCUGUCUCUUCUUAGGCUGAAGUGGGUGACAGGCCCCCAGGCUGCCUUCCCCUUGGGAGCCUGGUUGGGUCGCAUUGUCUCCUCUACUGAAGAAAAAAGAAAUUACAACCCAGAAUUUCCCUGGAUAUCAGACAACUCUGUCCAAAUGUAGUUAGGAUGACUUAAAUGAAAGAGGGUCAGGAACAUAUGGAAUACAUUCUUUUAAAAAUAAACAUAGGUUUUAAGAAGAGUGAAUGGGAAAGAGAUUCCAGACAAUGAGUCUUAGGUUUUUUGCUAAGACCCAAAAUGUCAAUCAGGAUUAGAACGAAGUGUCAGCUGACUCCUUCCUCCCUGGUCCAUGGGGGUAGUGGUUAACAGCUCGAAUUCCAGCGGCGGCCUUCUUGGGUUCAAGUUUCAUUGCUAUCUUUAAUCUAGAAGAUGGCCAGCCUCCUGACAGAGGGCAAAGAUGAUGAGACAAAGCACAUCCUGUCUUGUUAAGCUUUCAAGUUCAAGUGAAACACAUCAUUUAUGCACACAUUUCAUUGGCCAAAAUAUGUCACAUGGUUACACCUAAGUUCAACAGGGUUGGAUGGCAUCAUUCUUCCAUGGAGGAGGGGAAGUAGGGUGACGGGGAUGGCAUACGUUGGUGAACAGUGAUACGCUCUUCCACUGACCCUAUAAGCUGUUGUAGGGAUCACUGAGGAUGGUGCCUGGCAUGUCGUUCUUACUAAAUAUUAUUACACUAUUCUUUUUUGCCCAGGAGAUCCCAACAAGUAGAAACAUCCCCUUCUAGUCCUCUCCAGAAAGCCACUGCAGCGGGGGCAAAACUCUACCGAUGCCCCUUAGGGUUGUCAGCUGGACCUGAGAAUUAAAUGGAUAUAAGACAGAUUCACAGGACAAAAGCAAACAACCUUAUUUAUUUAUUUAUUUAUUUAUUUAUUUAUUUAUUUAUUUUUGAGAUGGAGUCUUUCUCUGUCACCCAGGCUGGAGUGCAGUGGCACGAUCUUGGCUCACUACAACCUCCGCCUCCCGGGUUCAAGUGAUUCUCCUGUCUCAGCCUCCCGAGUAGCUGGGAUUACAGGUGCGUGCCACCACACCCAUCUAAUUUUUGUAUUUUUAGUAGAGACAGGGUUUCAUCAUGUUGGCCAGGCUGGUCUCGAACUCCUGACCUCAGGUGAUCCACCUGCUUCAGUCUCCCAAGGUUCUGGGAUUAUAGGUGUGAGCUGCCAUGCCCGGCCCAAACAAAUUGAUUUAAUAAAUUUUAUGGGACACAGGAUCCUUCCCCAAAAAUGUAGCAACCCCUAAAUGUUUUUAUACUAGGUUGAAUAAAGAGAGGCUACCUCUUUUGGAAAAGGCACUAAAAUAUAUGGAGAAGCUAAAGGAAGAUAUAAGUGAUUUUAACAAGGUCAGUUUGUACACAUUUCUCUCGGCCUCGCCUCCCCAUCUCUGGUGUUGAGAAUGUUUCAUUUCUCCUGGUGGAAAGAGGGCAGCUCCUGCAUGGGACUUUCGCCAGGCCUGGCCCCUUGGCUCCUCAAGCCUCAUCCCCCACCAUGCCCCCUUCACUGUGUGCUCGAUCACUGGGGCGUGCUUCCUGAUCUUCCACCACCCCAAACCUUUCCCGACUCCCUUGCUGACCCCUCUGCUGGGAGACUCUCUCCCUUCUUUGCAUAGUUGGUCUUGGUAUUGUUUCUUCGGCCGCUGCAACAAGUAUCCCAAACAAAAGCAAUCUCUUCUUUCACAGUUCUGGAGGCCAGAAGUCCGAACUCAAGCGUGUUUCCCUCUGGAGGCUCUGGGGAGGGUCUGCUCCAGGCCUCCCUUCUAGCUCCUGGGGGUUGCUGGCCACCCUUGGUGGUCCCUGGCUUGCAGAUGACACCUCUGAUCUCAGCCUCUGUCUUCAUGUGGCCUGCUCCUUGUGGAUCUUGCCAUCAUCUGUCCUCUGUAUGCGCCUGCCUCUGCGUCUCUGUCCUCUUUGUAUAAAGACGCCAAUCAUAUGGGAUUAGGGCCCACCUGAAUGCCUUCAUCUUACCUCGAUCACGUCUGCAAAGACCUUGUUUCCAAAUAAGGCUCCAUUCGCAGAGGCUACGACUCAGUGUAGCUCCUUUGGGGACAGAGUUCCACCCAUAGCUGUCUGUUCUUAUCGUGCAGGUCUCGGCUCGAAAGUUAUCUCCUUGGAGAUGCUUUCCUUGAUGACGCCAUGGCAGGUCUUCUCAGCCUCCACACGGGGGACGUUUGAGGCUCCAUCAUUCUUUGUGGUGGGGCUGUCUUGGGUGUCGUGGGCUGUUUAGCAGCAUCCCUGGCCUCUAACCACCAGAUGCUGGUAGCAUCCAUUUCUCCUCCAGCACCCCCAACACACACAACCAGAAAUAUCCCCCUGGCUGGGAGGGGGCACAAUCACCCUAGAUGAGACUCAACUGCUGCUCAAUGAAAUGUGAUGUUUCCCAGACCUUUUCUUUUUAUUCUCCCUCUUUUUUCCUUCCUUCUUUUUUCCUUUUCUUUUUUGUAGCACUCAGUACAAUCAGUAAUUUUCUUGUUUAAUUAUGUCUUCUGUUUAUCAUCGGUGGAGGUUUUUUGUUUUAUAUUUUGUAGAGGUGGGGUCUUGCUAUGUUGCCCAGGCUGAUCUCAAACUCCUGGCCUCAAGCGAUCUUCCUGCCUUGGCCUCCCAAAGCGCUGGGAUUUCAGGCGGAAGCCAUCAUGCCUACCUAAUUUUUGUAUCUUUACUGGUAGAAACAAGGUUUGGCCAUGUUGCCCAGGCUGGUCUUGAACUUCUGGCCUCAAGCGAUCCUCCUACCUCGGCCUCUCAAAGUGCUGGGAUUCCAGGCAGAAGCCACGGUGCCCAGCCCAUCGGUGGAGGUUUGAAAUGCGGCUGCAUGUCCAUGUCCUUUGACAGUCGUUUUCUCUUUCCAUUUCCCUCCCUUCAGACCCUUAGGCCCUCUCUCUCUCCUCUCAAUACAUGUGGGAGGAGGAAUGAGAGCAGGCAGCCGGGAGACCCGAAUCAAGGCUCAGUCCUUUCUUUGCCUCCUUAACCCCCAGUGGUCCUCCUGCUUGAGUGAGCCUCAGAAUCCCAGGGGAGCUGAUGGGAACAGACCGCCGGGCCCCACCUCUGCCUUUCUCCCUCAGCGGGUCCGGGUUCCCGUUGAGAAGCCACAUUCCUGUCGAUUCCCGGGGGAUACUGUUGAUCCAGGGACCGCACCCUGAGAACCAUGAUUCUGCUUCAAUUCAUAAGCACCAAUGGUUUACAUUCUGGGCUAUUCCUAAGUCCUGCCUGCUUUUUUCUUUUUUUUUUUUUUUGGUGUGUGUGGCAUUUUUCAGAUAGAAGAAUAGCAGCCCCGAGAGUAUAAUGGAGUUGCUGGUGCAAAUCCCUUCCCCAGGGCUGAGAAUUGAGAAGCUGCAGCACAGGGGCAGCCCGGUGGCCUGGUGUGCCAGGGGAAUGCCACCCACAGCUCACCUCCUCGGAGCGAUGCCCCACCGGCAGCCUGAGUGGCCUUUUCUUGCAAAGGCUCAUUAGAGGACACAGUGACAGGUCUUGCCCGCACCCCAGGAACUAGGUCAACUAGACCUUGCAUAUGCUUACACCCUGGAUGAAUAAAGUCUUUAUUUACACCUCCACCUCUCUCCAAAAAAAGAAUUUGAGACAGCAUACAACAAAGAGCAUCUUUCAAUAAUAAUUAAAAAGAUUAGUGUGACAGAAAUGGUAAGUUAGGUCCAGUGAAAACAGGAGUAAGUAUGCCAGCCCUAGGAAUGAACAAUAUCUACGAUGAAGCAUCUGAUUCAGCCCUGAGCUUCCUGGUAGUGAGGUCAAAAAGAGAAACACAGGAAGUCUCAUCUCUCUCACUAUAGAAAGAAGGAAACAGCAAUUCCUUAGUUUAUUUCUGAUACCAAACUCUAAAGUAAAGUAAAUUCUUAUGUUGGGCUUUAUAUAAGGGAUAUGAAGUUACAGGUCUCUUUAUUUUUAUUUUUUAUGAGGCAGAGUUUUCACUCUUAUUGCCCAGGCUGGAGUGCAGUGGCACAAUCUUGGCUCACUGCGACCUCCGCCUCCCGGGUUCGAGUGAUUCUCCUGCCUUAGCCUCUUGAGUAACUGGGAUUACAGGUGCAUGCCACCACGCUUGGCUAAUUUCUGUAUUUUUAGUAGAGAUGGGGUUUCACCAUGUUGGCCAGGCUAGUCUUGAAUUCCUGACCUCAGACCACAAGCAGGUGAGUGUGACAGGCCCGAAAGGUGCUCAUACCCUUGCAGGGGCUCAGAUGUCCCGACCUUGGACAACGGCACUGGUUUGGCUGCCCAGCUCGAGCUUGCCUGCCUGUGAGGUCACCCCACAGCCUGGGUAAUGACAUUCCAGCGUGAAGCCACAGGCUGCUUUCUCUGCCCCUAUCCAGCAGUGGCCAGCCCCAGAGUCAAGGACAAAGCCAUUUUUAGAAGAGUGACUGAGAAACGUUUUGGCGGCUUCUCCAGGUCUGCCAGGACCUGCAACGUACCUCAGGGUCAAACUGGAAGGUAUUUGCAGUUCAUAAAACGGACACGAGGCAUCUUAUUACCAAUGUUAUUCUUGGAUGGAAAUUAUAUUUCAGAGACACUGGAGACCCAGGUAUAGAAUCCCUGGUUCACAGACCUUCUCCCAGCUAGUGUGCGAUGAGCAUGCUGCAGGGUCGUUAAUUGAAUGGUGAACAGGACCAGGGUUUCCCAGGGGGCUCACAAAUGAGCUCAAAGAGAUGCUUUGCGGGGUUUGCCAUGGCUUGGGUGUGGGGAGCCACCUGUGAGUCUUGGUUGGAGUGGUCUGUCUAAGCUCACAUCCAAAGAAUGCACAGAACUUUCCAGGUGAUGCAGGACAGAACAGGCAUCCCUAAAAGAAAAUGGCAUGUGCAAAGGCCCUGCAGCAGGAGCAUGCAGGAAAGAAGGCAAGGUUGUCUGGGCCCAGAAAGGGACAGGAGUGUGGAGAGGUGGGUAGGGGCCAGACCCCACAGGCCCUUGCAGCCACGUUGAAAAGUUUUGCUUUAUUCUAAAGCCAACAGGAAAUCAUCAAAAGGGGUUAAGGGAGACUGGAGCUGGGGGUGGGAGGGCGUUCACUUUAUUGAACCCACUUUUGGAAAGAUCACU
This 8558-nucleotide long non-coding RNA is filed under the name Pan troglodytes (chimpanzee). RNAcentral describes it as "long non-coding RNA NONPTRT003706". Lineage: Eukaryota; Metazoa; Chordata; Mammalia; Primates; Hominidae. The record is from RNAcentral.